ACCCAUAAUUGCAGUGAUUCAGAAAGGUUGAUACUGGUGGAUCUCUUGAGCUAGGGAGUUCUGAGCUGCAGUGGGCUAUGUUGAUCAGAUGUCUGAACAUUUUUUAGCAUCACUAUGGUUAAACCUCCAGGAGAAGAAAGUCACCAGGUUGUCUAACAAAGGGUGAGCUGACCCAGGUCAGAAACAUAGCAGGUCAAAAUUCCUGUGUUGCUCAACAGUGGGGACCCAUGACUAGUCCCUAUACUUCCAGCUUAGGUAAGAUUGGGAAACCCUGUCUUA
RNAcentral lists this non-coding RNA (279 nucleotides) under Phascolarctos cinereus (koala). The record is from RNAcentral. Lineage: Eukaryota; Metazoa; Chordata; Mammalia; Diprotodontia; Phascolarctidae.